CACAUGCAAGUCGAGUGCGCGUGCCGUAGCAAUACGGUAUGGCGCACGGCGCACGGGUGCGUAACACGUGGGCAAUCUGCCCUUCGAUGGGGAAUAACUCCGGGAAACCGAAGCUAAUUCCGCAUAACAUUCCCUGGACUCCGGUUUGGGGAUUCAAAGCAGCAAUGCGUCGGAGGAGGAGCCCGCGCCCGAUUAGCUAGUUGGUAGGGUAACGGCCUACCAAGGCUUUGAUCGGUAGCUGGUCUGAGAGGAUGGCCAGCCACACUGGAACUGAGACACGGUCCAGACUCCUACGGGAGGCAGCAGUGGGGAAUCUUGCGCAAUGGGCGAAAGCCUGACGCAGCGACGCCGCGUGGGGGAUGAAGCUUCUCGGAGUGUAAACCCCUUUCGACUGGGACGAAUGCCUCGCAAGAGGAGUGACGGUACCAGUAGAAGAAGCCCCGGCUAACUACGUGCCAGCAGCCGCGGUAAGACGUAGGGGGCCAGCGUUGUUCGGAAUUACUGGGUGUAAAGGGUUCGUAGGCGGUGUGGCAAGUCGGGAGUGAAAUUUCUGGGCUUAACCCAGAGGCUGCUUCCGAAACUGCUGUGCUCGAGUGUGGGAGAGGCGCGUGGAAUUGCAGGUGUAGCGGU
This 630-nucleotide ribosomal RNA is filed under the name uncultured delta proteobacterium. Its description in RNAcentral is "bacterial SSU rRNA". It matches the Rfam family "Bacterial small subunit ribosomal RNA", at positions 52 to 682 of the family's 1533-position model. Lineage: Bacteria; Deltaproteobacteria. The record is from RNAcentral.